Molecule: ribosomal RNA, 454 nt
Filed under: uncultured bacterium
Lineage: Bacteria
Description: partial 16S ribosomal RNA
Rfam family: Bacterial small subunit ribosomal RNA
Source: RNAcentral
GAUGAACGCUGACAGAAUGCUUAACACAUGCAAGUCAACUUGAACUUCGGUUUGGGUGGCGGACGGGUGAGUAACGCGUAAAGAACUUGCCUCACAGAUAGGGACAACAUUUGGAAACGAAUGCUAAUACCUGAUAUUAUGAUUAUAUGGCAUCGUAUAAUUAUGAAAGCUAUAUGCGCUGUGAGAGAGCUUUGCGUCCCAUUAGCUAGUUGGAGAGGUAACGGCUCACCAAGGCGAUGAUGGGUAGCCGGCCUGGGAGGGUGAUCGGCCACAAGGGGACUGAGACACGGCCCUUACUCCUACGGGAGGCAGCAGUGGGGAAUAUUGGACAAUGGACCAAGAGUCUGAUCCAGCAAUUCUGUGUGCACGAUGAAGUUUUUCGGAAUGUAAAGUGCUUUCAGUUGGGAAGAAAAAAAUGACGGUACCAACAGAAGAAGUGACGGCUAAAUACGUG